UAAUACGAAGGUGGCAAGCGUUAUUCGAAAUCACUAGGCUUAAAGGGCGCGUAGGCGGAUAUGUAAGUGUCAGGUGAAAUCCCUCGGCUUAACCGAGGAAUUGCCUGACAAACUACAUAUCUUGAGUCAAGUAGGGGUGUGUGGAACUCUUGGUGGAGCGGUGGAAUGCGUAGAUAUCAAGAGGAACGCCGAAGGUGAAGACAGCACACUGGACUUGUACUGACGCUGAGGCGCGAAAGCGUGGGGAGCGAACAGGAUUAGAUACCCUGGUAGUCCACGCCGUAAACGAUGUAUACUAGGUCGCGGAGGUUCUGACACCGUCGCGGUCGUAGCAAAAGUGUUAAGUAUACCGCCUGGGGAGUACGGCCGCAAGGUUG
This 377-nucleotide ribosomal RNA is filed under the name uncultured Phycisphaerae bacterium. Its description in RNAcentral is "bacterial SSU rRNA". It matches the Rfam family "Bacterial small subunit ribosomal RNA", at positions 521 to 896 of the family's 1533-position model. Lineage: Bacteria; Pseudomonadati; Planctomycetota; Phycisphaerae. The record is from RNAcentral.